CUCCUUCCAUGGAGCCUGGAUUUUGCUGUUUUCCACUGUUAUAUUUUAUUUUGUUUUGAGAACAGUCUCACACUGUACCCCAGACUGGUCUGGGACGCUAUGUGUAGUCCAGGCAGAUGGGGCAUGUCCAGCAAUCCUCCUGUCUCGGCCUCCUGACUGCUGAGCCAGCAGGUGUGAACCUCCACACCAGGCUGACAGGAUGAGGGUUCUGAGAGAAAUGGAUACACUUAGUGGUCUGUCUGCUGACCCCAUGGUUGAGCUCUGGGCAUAAGAGCCAUGCGGGGCUCGGCAGGUCACAAAUCGCUCUCAUACAACGUCACAAUGCCACAGAGGAGACAUUCGCCCCCUGCUUUACAGCUGAGGAAGCUGAGGUGACUUGCUCACAGCCACAAGGUAAGGAAGGUAGGGACCAGGUACCAGACCUCACAGCCUCACCAAGAACUGGGCCCAGAAGCUUUAGGGCUGAGAGAAGGAGAAAGGACAAGACCAUUGAGGGCUGGGAUCAUGCCAUCGAGACCUAGGAUGAGGACUUUGGAAACCAGGUCUCUUCACUGGCAUUUUACUGACCAAUUAGGCUAGACCGACUGGCCAGCGAGCCCAGGGAUCCUCCCACCUCUCCCUCUCCGGUGCCUGGAUUACAUGUGCUCAUUACUACACCCAGUUCUUGUUACCUGAGGAUUCUGGGGAUCAAACCCAUCCUCACUGUUCAGCCAGCACUUACUAACUGAGCUCCUUCCCCAGUCUCUGAAAAUUCUGACGCACUGUUAAAACCCUUUCUGAGAAAACAUGAUUUCCCAAAUCCCAGCUUCAAUGGGAAUCUGGGCACGCCUGGCAUUCCGGAGCACCCCACUUCUGCUAAUAAUGAUUUCACAAAUGAUCUCUGAGAUGGAAGGCAUCGCUCCAAAAUGGCCACACAGCAACUAUAAACGGAGUUCCAGACAAAUGACUCAGUGACAUCUGAAUCAAGGCAGUGACCAGCUGUGCGUCACAAAGGGAGCAGCAGCCGUAAAUGUCCACAGUGAUGUGAAAUACCAGACUGCUUUCCGCAUCCUAUAAAAUGGACAUAAAUAUUUACUUCGUACUAUAAUUACGAAGAGGGACCCUGGAUUGUCAUAAAACCUAAAGAUUGAUGAUAACCCAACCACCUCUGUAGCGUAAUAAAUUCUGCCUGAGGUUAUACAGUU
Peromyscus maniculatus bairdii (prairie deer mouse) is the source of this 1184-nucleotide non-coding RNA. The record is from RefSeq and is a predicted model, not a curated record. NCBI's taxonomy places the organism in Eukaryota, Metazoa, Chordata, Mammalia, Rodentia, Cricetidae.